RNAcentral lists this ribosomal RNA (498 nucleotides) under uncultured bacterium. RNAcentral describes it as "partial 16S ribosomal RNA". It matches the Rfam family "Bacterial small subunit ribosomal RNA", at positions 30 to 523 of the family's 1533-position model. The record is from RNAcentral.
AUUGAACGCUAGCGGCAUGCCUUACACAUGCAAGUCGAACGGUAACAGGUCUUCGGAUGCUGACGAGUGGCGAACGGGUGAGUAAUACAUCGGAACGUGCCUAGUAGUGGGGGAUAACUACUCGAAAGAGUGGCUAAUACCGCAUGAGAUCUACGGAUGAAAGCAGGGGAUCGCAAGACCUUGUGCUACUAGAGCGGCCGAUGGCAGAUUAGGUAGUUGGUGGGAUAAAAGCUUAGCAAGCCGACGAUCUGUAGCUGGUCUGAGAGGACGAUCAGCCACACUGGGACUGAGACACGGCCCAGACUCCUACGGGAGGCAGCAGUGGGGAAUUUUGGACAAUGGGCGCAAGCCUGAUCCAGCAAUGCCGCGUGCAGGAUGAAGGCCUUCGGGCUGUAAACUGCUUUUGUACGGAACGAAAAGCCCUGGGUUAAUACCCUGGGGCCAUGACGGUACCGUAAGAAUAAGCACCGGCUAACUACGUGCCAGCCGCCGCAGUAA